GGUGAAACCAAGGCAAUGUGCUAAUGUGUCAGACUUUAUGUAUUCAAACAAGCAAGCCAUGGUCUCUUUACCUGUGGCUGUGUUGGCUUUGCCCUGUUUGGAAGUAGGAAACCCUUCAUUGAGUCAAUUCAGCAAAGAUGACUCUAAAUGUUCAUGGAAAAUGAGUCUGCACAGUGAGCGGGUGCCAUCUUUGUGCAGUGUAAUUGUCUUGCAUGGAGACUGAGGAGUGGGUUUGCUGAAGGAGAAGUGAAUUAUCUUGCCUUCAUCAGUGUUUUGAGUAAUAUUUCUGUGACACUUCAGCUUCAACACCUUCCACAUACACAUAACAAACAGUAAACAAAGUCACUAUGAGACCACAGGGCAAGAAAACACCUUGAUCUUUGUUACACUGAAGCCUGGUCAUUCCUGGCACUGGCUUCACAAAUUCUUGAGCACCUGAGCUCUGAGCUGGGAAACAAAGUCCAGUUAAGAAUAUGACAACAAAUAAAGGCUUUGGCUGCCCUACUACUGAGUCACAUGGGAGGAGGUUCAAGUGAAAAAAAAUCUCUGUUGGAUUUCAAAUACCCACAAAAGAAGUUUUUUCGGAAAGAUUUGCAAAACAAGCCUUCAAACAGGAACAGAAGGGUUGUGUAGAGGUGCAUGGUGGUAACACAUUACAA
Passer domesticus (house sparrow) is the source of this 659-nucleotide long non-coding RNA. RefSeq lists it as uncharacterized. The record is from RefSeq and is a predicted model, not a curated record. The transcript is spliced from 4 exons. Lineage: Eukaryota; Metazoa; Chordata; Aves; Passeriformes; Passeridae.